GGAGACGUGGCCGAGAGGUCGAAGGCACUCCCCUGCUAAGGGAGCAUGCGGCCAAAAACUGCAUCAAGGGUUCGAAUCCCUUCGUCUCCGCCA
RNAcentral lists this transfer RNA (93 nucleotides) under Robbsia andropogonis. Its description in RNAcentral is "tRNA-Ser". It matches the Rfam family "tRNA". Rfam says of the family: Transfer RNA (tRNA) molecules are approximately 80 nucleotides in length. Their secondary structure includes four short double-helical elements and three loops (D, anti-codon, and T loops). RNAcentral also lists the same sequence under 3 other names. Lineage: Bacteria; Pseudomonadati; Pseudomonadota; Betaproteobacteria; Burkholderiales; Burkholderiaceae. The record is from RNAcentral.